CAGCCGGGACUGCUGGACAGCGGGGUCCAGGCUAGAGGCGAGCGAGCGGUCAGUGACGGCUGUGGAGGAGGGAGGCGCUGGGCGUCAGCGCGGGACCCGAGCCUCUGGACCACUGAGCUGGGGGGCUGGCUGAGGUCCACCUCCUAACAAAUUAUUGGAAGGAAUAUGAGAAAAGUGUAGACAAAGCGGUCCUGGCUCUGCGUGUGCAGCUCCACCAGCAUGCACAUGGUGGACCACUGGGCUCUUCGGAGUGAAGAGAACUCCAGGUGCUUGUCCCUUGCCAGCGUGAGAAACGCAUCCCGACCAUCCAUCAGAUCGCAGGGGAUGAGAGGAUCAGGAUCAACAAUGGGAGGCAGGGAGUUGGCAGCAGGGCCAGCAAUGAGGCGGAUCACAAAGAAGACCUGAAAAACAGACAGUCUCUUUUUUUUGAGACAGGGCCUCGCUCUGUCAUCCAGGCUGGAAUGCAGUGGCGUGAUCUUGGCUCACUACAACCUCUGCCUCCUGGGCUCAAGCAAUUAUCCCACCAUGGCCUCCUGAAUAGCUGAGACCACAGGCCCACACCACCACACCUGGCUAAUUUCUGCAUUUUUUGUAGAGACGAGGCUUCGCCAUGUUGCCCAGGCUGGUCUCAAACUCCUAAGCUCAAGUGAUCUGCCUGCCUCAGCCUCCCAGAGUGCUGGGAUUACAGGUGUGAGCAGGUACAGCAGGCUGAGCACCAAUGAGACUGGCGAAUGCUGAGUUAGUUUCACCACCAUACGCCUCCUGUUCCUUUUCCUGCUUUACCUCUUUGGUCUCUUGAGACUGACUAUAAAUAGAACUGAAAUGCACAUCCUGUGAUUUUUUUCUCCUUCAUUCAGUAACUCCUUCAGAGUAACAAUGGUCUGGGUGAGGUAUAGCACCAUGCACAGUGGACAUUUUGCCUCAAGGCAGUCUACUUUAAGAUGCAAUCCAUGGUUUAACCUCAAUCUAAUUACAACAAACCAGACAAAUCCAAAUAUGGAGACAGUAUGAAAAACAACUGGCCUGGACUCAUGAAGGUCCCCUAUGCAACUUUCCUGUGUAACUUUUCCUACAGGUUUGGAAGGGAAUGGAAUGGAUAAAAAAUCUUAGUCUUUGUUGACAAAGCAAUAAAAUUCUUGUUCAUUGAAGUUUG
RNAcentral lists this long non-coding RNA (1153 nucleotides) under Homo sapiens (human). RNAcentral's name for it is "HSALNT0278173". Lineage: Eukaryota; Metazoa; Chordata; Mammalia; Primates; Hominidae. The record is from RNAcentral.